RNAcentral lists this ribosomal RNA (465 nucleotides) under uncultured bacterium. Its description in RNAcentral is "partial 16S ribosomal RNA". It matches the Rfam family "Bacterial small subunit ribosomal RNA", at positions 338 to 795 of the family's 1533-position model. The record is from RNAcentral.
CCUACGGGCGGCAGCAGUGGGGAAUAUUGCGCAAUGGGCGAAAGCCUGACGCAGCGACGCCGCGUGAGGGAUGAAGGUCUUCGGAUCGUAAACCUCUGUCAGCAGGGAAGAACGGUCACUGUGCUAAUCAGCAGUGAAUUGACGGUACCUGCAAAGGAAGCACCGGCUAACUCCGUGCCAGCAGCCGCGGUAAUACGGAGGGUGCGAGCGUUAAUCGGAAUUACUGGGCGUAAAGCGCUCGUAGGCGGUAUGUCAAGUCAAGGGGGAAAUCCCCGCGCUCAACGUGGGAACUGCCUUUGAAACUGGCAAACUGGAGUGUGUUAGAGGAUAGUGGAAUUCCAGGUGUAGGAGUGAAAUCCGUAGAUAUCUGGAGGAACAUCAGUGGCGAAGGCGACUAUCUGGCACAUAACUGACGCUGAGGAGCGAAAGCGUGGGUAGCAAACAGGAUUAGAUACCCCGGUAGUC